RNAcentral lists this ribosomal RNA (454 nucleotides) under uncultured Anoxybacillus sp. RNAcentral describes it as "bacterial SSU rRNA". It matches the Rfam family "Bacterial small subunit ribosomal RNA", at positions 929 to 1382 of the family's 1533-position model. Lineage: Bacteria; Bacillati; Bacillota; Bacilli; Caryophanales; Anoxybacillaceae. The record is from RNAcentral.
GCGGUGGAGCAUGUGGUUUAAUUCGAUGCAACGCGAAGAACCUUACCAGGUCUUGACAUCCCCUGACAACCCGAGAGAUCGGGCGUUCCCCCUUCGGGGGACAGGGUGACAGGUGGUGCAUGGUUGUCGUCAGCUCGUGUCGUGAGAUGUUGGGUUAAGUCCCGCAACGAGCGCAACCCUCGACCUUAGUUGCCAGCAUUCAGUUGGGCACUCUAAGGUGACUGCGGCUAAAAGUCGGAGGAAGGUGGGGAUGACGUCAAAUCAUCAUGCCCCUUAUGACCUGGGCUACACACGUGCUACAAUGGGCGGUACAAAGGGUCGCGAACCCGCGAGGGGGAGCCAAUCCCAAAAAGCCGCUCUCAGUUCGGAUUGCAGGCUGCAACUCGCCUGCAUGAAGCCGGAAUCGCUAGUAAUCGCGGAUCAGCAUGCCGCGGUGAAUACGUUCCCGGGCCUU